GUAUAGUGACACAGUAACAGAGGGAUUGAGGGUCAUGCUCAGUGAGUUUACGUUAGAGGGAGUGGGGUAUAGUGACACAGUAACAGAGGGAUUGAGGGUCCUGCUCAGUGAGUUUACAUUCUGAGUUUACAUUCUAGAGUGAGUGGGGUAUAGUGACACAAAGGGUAAAAGUAGGAGUACGACUCCCAAUAAUAUACAGUGUCUAUGAGCAGGCCGGCCUUAGGGGUGUGUGAGCUAUGCACAGGGCGCCACGGAGCAGGGGGAGCCGUGCGGCCAACACAGCUCACACAUG
Pelobates cultripes (western spadefoot toad) is the source of this 292-nucleotide non-coding RNA. The record is from the annotation of a GenBank genome assembly. Lineage: Eukaryota; Metazoa; Chordata; Amphibia; Anura; Pelobatidae.